This is a long non-coding RNA of Rhinichthys klamathensis goyatoka, 1725 nucleotides long. RefSeq lists it as uncharacterized. NCBI's taxonomy places the organism in Eukaryota, Metazoa, Chordata, Actinopteri, Cypriniformes, Leuciscidae. The transcript has 2 exons. The record is from RefSeq and is a predicted model, not a curated record.
GUGAGUGUGUGAGUCAGUGAGUGUGUGAGUCAGUGAGUGUGUGAGUCAGUGAGUGAGUCAGUGAGUGAGUCAGUGAGUCAGUGAGUCAGUGAGUGAGUGAGUGAGUGAGUGAGUCAGUGAGUGACUCAGUGAGUGAGUGAGUGAGUGAGUGAGUCAGUGAGUGAGUGAGUCAGUGAGUGAGUGAGUGAGUCAGUGAGUGAGUCAGUGAGUCAGUGAGUGAGUGAGUCAGUGAGUCAGUGAGUGAGUGUGUGAGUGUGUGAUGCACUACCCGGCCACGGUUCAGCCUGCGCUCGUUCGCCCCUCUCUUAUAAACCACUGCUGUAAAGACUCUAGCCGACUGUAAUGUAAAUAUAUAGUAGAUUUGAAAUGAUAAAUGUUUCAGCCAUUAGAUUGUAUUUGUAUUUUUGUACAGGUGUGUGUGUGUGUGUGUGUGUGAGACGAGAGCCGAGCCUCUGCACUGCCUGCGCUGUCAGCUGUGUGUAGUGUGUAGUUCUCCAGAGACCCUGUUAUUCGAGAACUGCCUUACAACUCCAGCUCGCUCUUUCAUUCCCCCCGCCUCCGAUCCCGGCGGAGAAACACUGAGCCUUUCCUGUCCAGUGCCAAACAACAGCGCGAGUCGUCGCUGCGCGAGAACCUGUGCGUCGCUCCUCAGUGUCGAUCCGGUGCUUUAUUUAUCCACUACAUUUUCUUCUUAUCCAUGAACUGUGCAAACUUAUUACUGGAACAUUAAAGUUUGAACAACAGUUCUUUCCCUAAUGACCGGCACUUAUCCAGCCGAUAAACAUGAUCAACCGUACCUUAAUAAUAAUAAUGCACAUGCUUUCUGACCUUAUUGUUUGUUGACAUUUCAUAUAGGACUAGUUACUUUACAGGAUGAAAGAUUAAUUUCGACUGAAGCCAAUUUUUAUUCAUCAACUAACAAAAACAACUAUGCAAUGUGUCACAGAGCAUCAAACCACUCCAUCUGUACAUGUUCACACGCAAAAUAUCACGUGUCAGCGUUCAUAUUUAGCAUAUGCAAGUCAUCAUAGAGUGAAACUGUCCUGUUGCAUUGAAUAUUUCACAUUUAAAAGCCUUUUUUUUCUUAACCCAUCAAAAUGUUGUUGUGUACAGUUAUGUUUGAUGUGACUUAAUCUGUUGUUUUGUUUUGUAUCUGGGCAUUGCAAUGUUUAUAUAUACAUACAUAUAUAUAUAUAUAUAUAUAUAUAUAUUCCUGUUGAGAACUUUUGCUGCUUUAUGUAAUUUCUUUGACACUCACAUGACAUAAAAAUCAUGCAUUUGUUUUAAUGUUGGAAAAAUAGUUGUGAAAAACUACUUGCUUGACCUUCAAGAUCAGCUUUUUUUUCAUGUUGAAUCAUUCCACCUUCGUCAGGUGCCAUCAUCCUCAUCAUCAUCAUUACGCUUUCAUUCACACGUGGGUCUUCUGAAGGCAUUAACUUAUGAUGUGGGCCUUCAGUGCAACAAAAAUAGCUUAUUAAACAGUUGCUUUUCAUAGAAGAUAUUUAUUCAGAGAUUCUGAUCUUCUGGUCCGGCAUGUUAGUCGAGUGACAAAUGCUUCCACAAUGACUGCUUUUGAUACCCAGAGUGUGAGGAAACUGUAAAGAUCUGUAUUUUUAAAGAAUGUAUAAUGUGAAAUUUUUUCUCAUAUGCUUGUUUUGUAUAAAGUAUUAUGGCAAAGUAAUAACUUUUUGAAUCAAAAAGCAAUACAAUACCAGUAAAACCCUG